CCUACGGGGGACUGCAGUGAGGAAUAUUGGUCAAUGGACGAGAGUCUGAACCAGACAAGUAGCGUGAAGGAUGACUGCCCUAUGGGUUGUAAACUUCUUUUAUAUGGGAAUAAAACGUUCCACGUGUGGGAUUUUGUAUGUACCAUAUGAAUAAGGAUCGGCUAACUCCGUGCCAGCAGCCGCGGUAAUACGGAGGAUCCGAGCGUUAUCCGGAUUUAUUGGGUUUAAAGGGAGCGUAGGUGGAUUGUUAAGUCAGUUGUGAAAGUUUGCGGCUCAACCGUAAAAUUGCAGUUGAAACUGGCAGUCUUGAGUACAGUAGAGGUGGGCGGAAUUCGUGGUGUAGCGGUGAAAUGCUUAGAUAUCACGAAGAACUCCGAUUGCGAAGGCAGUUCACUGGACUGCAACUGACACUGAGGCUCGAAAGUGUGGGUAUCAAACAGGAUUAGAUACCCCUGUAGUC
RNAcentral lists this ribosomal RNA (460 nucleotides) under uncultured bacterium. RNAcentral describes it as "partial 16S ribosomal RNA". It matches the Rfam family "Bacterial small subunit ribosomal RNA", at positions 338 to 795 of the family's 1533-position model. The record is from RNAcentral.